AUUGUUAAACUUUUAAAAAAAAAAUCCUAAAAACUUGGGAAGAAAACCCUCAAUAUUACUCGAACUCGAACUCUCAAACGCAAGCUCUGUUCCGCCGUGGAGCGGAGGAGAUUUCAGGUGAGCAAUCGGCGAUGGCGGAAAACUCUUCGACUCCAGCUUUCGGAAACUUUCGGUUGUUUGGAUCAGCGGAAGAUGAGAAGCCUAAUCUAGGUUUCUCCCUUGGCUUUCUCGACUCUCAACAACCGUCUCUUCCACCUCCACCUCCUUCCCUCGAAGUUCUUUCUUCUGAGGUUUCAUCUUCUGUCAAAUACAAUGUGGAGCCAGUAAGCGUGGGUGGACUUACCUUGUUUAAAGGACGGGUCAGGACUCAGGAGGUUUUCUCCCUGUCCAACUCUGAUUUAGUUCCUGGUACAUAUGAAGGGGGGCUUAAGUUGUGGGAAGGUGCAUUGGAUCUUGUCAAAGCUCUUUGUGAGGAGCUUGAAAAUGGGCAUUUGUCAUUUGCUGGGAAGCGAGUUUUAGAGCUUGGAUGUGGUCAUGGUCUUCCUGGUAUUUAUGCAUGCCUUAAGGAUGCAGCUGCUGUACAUUUCCAGGAUUUCAAUGCUGAAGUACUGAGAUGUCUUACCAUUCCGAAUGUUGCUGCAAACCUUUCAAAAAAAUAUGAAAGUUUGCCAUCUAAUCCAACAGAAUCUGAUGCUGGAUCAGCAGUUCGUUACUUUGCUGGUGAUUGGAGUGAAAUGUAUAAAAUUCUCCCUUUUGCAUCCAACAACGAGGAAAACCUGAGUGGAAAUUGUGAUGGCUAUGAUAUUGUUUUAAUGGCAGAGACAGUUUAUGCUCUUUCUACACUUAAAACUCUAUAUAAGCUUAUCACACAGUGCUUGAGCCGUCCUCAUGGAGUUGUAUACUUGGCUGGAAAGAAACAUUACUUUGGAGUAGGAGGAGGAACCCGGCGCUUUCUAUCUGUGUUAGAAAAAGAAGGUGAAAUGGUUUCCAAACUGAUUGUGGAAGUUGCUGAUGGUUCGUCUAAUGUUAGAGAAGUGUGGAAGCUCUCACUGAAAUAGAGAUUCGAAACCAACCACAACAAAUUCUCUUCUAAAGUCAAAGAAAGAAGUUGAACAGAUGAUGAAUAUGCCUUGUGUGUUGGGUCGGCCUUGCUGGCAUUCAUGGAUGUCAUCGUUUCUUGAUUCAUACUCUAACUGAGUUGAUAUGGUCAAAGAAGAUCAAUCAACAGGUAUGCUUUUUAAGAUGAAAUAUUACGGCGAGUUGGUUCCAAAGUCAGCUUAUUAUAUAGCCCAUCAUCAACAAAAGUUUAGCACAUAGAAUUGAAUCAGGGAGUGCUAACUUGAGCUGUAGUUCAACCUAUUAGAGAUUAUGCCUUAGACUACACGACUAGAGGUUUGAAUUUCCACUGCCACAUGACAGACAUUCAAAUUUCUAAAUGACUAGAAUGGUGGCAGUUUUGCUUUUACUUUUUGAAUCUGUGUAAAAGAAACAAGGUACGUAAGUUCAAUAUUAAAAAAUGAAUAUGCUUGUAGUAGAGGUGAGUGGGGGCGAGCCCUUCAUGAUUUCUUUCCCGUCUUCAAAAUGGAUUUUAGAGUUGGGGUAUAAGUUUAUAUUUGGUAACUUGGUCCUGCUAAGAUCAGUAAUGAGCCCAAUCUAUGUAGUAUGUGUUUGUGUAUAUAUUUCUUGACUGUCUCCAGUAGAUACGUACAUAAAACAAAAAUAAGGGUUAGGUGGGGCAUGAUGAAUGAGGAAGAGGUAGAUGGUGGGGGCACCUCUCACUGGUGGAGCAAACUCAAUGACGAUUGAGAGAGGGCUAAAGCAAAGGGCUUGUAAGAGAAUUGUAUGGUGAUUAGCACCUAGCGUUGAUGGGGUUGACGACUAAGAGGAGGGGGUGGCAACGAAGGGAUACAGCCAAGGUGAAGUGAGCAAGAGAGAAAGACGAAAAGAUCUUGUGGUUGCUAUUGAAUGUAUGAAAAUGAAGGAGAUUAGAGACAAUAAAUAGAUUUUGUAGUUCUGUUCAUGUUAAACUAAUUUCUCCCAUCCAACCUAAUAAUCCAAUUGAAUCAAACUUUGUCA
This is an RNA transcript of Cucumis sativus (cucumber), 2076 nucleotides long. It is a transcript of the gene named histidine protein methyltransferase 1 homolog, with no coding region annotated. The record is from RefSeq and is a predicted model, not a curated record. The transcript is spliced from 11 exons. Lineage: Eukaryota; Viridiplantae; Streptophyta; Magnoliopsida; Cucurbitales; Cucurbitaceae.